This is a long non-coding RNA of Lolium rigidum, 892 nucleotides long. RefSeq lists it as uncharacterized. The transcript has 4 exons. The record is from RefSeq and is a predicted model, not a curated record. Lineage: Eukaryota; Viridiplantae; Streptophyta; Magnoliopsida; Poales; Poaceae.
GGAGCGGAAAUCAAGUGAUGUCGCUGUCGAAUCUCGAUGGGUGCCCGUGGCGGCGGCAGCCGGUGCCACUGCCGACGCGCGCGGUGGACUCCUCGGAGGAGUCGAGCUCUACGUCAUCGUCCGACCCAGAGUCGGUGGUGGACGAGCCCAUCUUCCGCAUGACCCUCACAGGUUUGAGGCCCUCGGUGAAGAUCCUGAUGGCCUCCUCCGUCGUCUUGGUGCUCAGCAGGUUCAGAGAAUGUUUUCAGUGGAGUUGAUUGACCCAGCAGUGAAAGGAACACUGAAUGUUCUGGCCUCCUACAAGAAAGCUUCUUAGUUGACCUUGCUACUGAAUCCGAUACAGGAUACGCCCGUACGAAGAUGAUGCGUGGAAUGCUGAUGUUGCCCCUUUGGCUACCUCGAUGUUGCCCAGAGUGGAUAGGAGGAAGAUAGUUCAUCGUCAUGACCGAGUCCACACGUGUCUUUGGUAGAGUCAGGAAAAAAUAUUUGCUCAGUGAAAUUUACUUCGGAUGAUUAUGUGUUUUCUAGUGUGCUUUGCCGUGAACAAAGAUUAUGUGUUUUUUAAAAAAUUUAUGAUAUAUCUUGGAACCUUUUAUGCUCAUAUCCUACUCCUUUGUCUACUAUUUGUUCAUUGGUAGUACAGGUUGCAGAUAAGCCUCGGCAAAACUGUAUUGCACAGGUUCCUUUAGUUCAGUUCAAAUUUAUACCCAAAUAUCAGUGUCCUGUAUAUUCUUCACUUGAGUGAACAAAGCAGGAGAAGUGUUCCUGCAGCUAGCAAGAAUAAUAAAAGUGCGGCUCGGUUGACCACGUGCGGCAAGACCAACACGGGCGGAGCUGCUUCCCGUUGGUGACGAUAGGGGAGGUCCACAGACGCUGAGGUGCAGGGGCCUAG